CAAUAACAGGUCUGUGAUGCCCUUAUAUGUUCUGGGCCGCACGCGCGCUACACUGAUGCGAUCAACGAGCCUAGCCUUGGCCGAGAGGUCCGGGUAAUCUUGCAAACCGCAUCGCGAUGGGGAUAGAUUAUUGCAAUUAUUAAUCUUCAACGAGGAAUGCCUAGUAAGCGCGAGUCAUCAGCUCGCGUUGAUUACGUCCCUGCCCUUUGUACACACCGCCCGUCGCUCCUACCGAUUGGGUGUGCUGGUGAAGCGUUCGGAUUGGUGGCUCCAAGCGGUUCGCCGCCGGGGGCAACCGAGAAGUUCGUUAAACCCUCCCACCUAGAGGAAGGAGAAGUCGUAACAAGGUUUCCGUAGGUGAACCUGCGGAAGGAUC
RNAcentral lists this ribosomal RNA (376 nucleotides) under Elliptochloris marina. RNAcentral's name for it is "SSU rRNA". It matches the Rfam family "Eukaryotic small subunit ribosomal RNA", at positions 1451 to 1827 of the family's 1831-position model. The record is from RNAcentral. Lineage: Eukaryota; Viridiplantae; Chlorophyta; Trebouxiophyceae.